This 450-nucleotide unclassified non-coding RNA is filed under the name Hevea brasiliensis (rubber tree). The record is from RNAcentral. Lineage: Eukaryota; Viridiplantae; Streptophyta; Magnoliopsida; Malpighiales; Euphorbiaceae.
GUUUAAUUCAAUCGCCUUUUUCACUUCAAUGGCAUUGAUUACACUCCUCACACAUGAACUUCCUCUCAUGCCUUGGCUCCUAAUUUCUGUAACUUCAACAAUUGGAGCUUACAUGUGUUCAAUAAUGGCUGUAUCACCUCAUGAAGUUGUCACAGUUUUCUUCAUAGGAAGUUGCAUAUUGUUAGCUGCCUUCUUGAAGUGUCUGGCCUUGGACAAGAUGGUGCUUGAUUUUAUGCAAUGGAUAUGCAGUAGAAUUGAACUAACAUAGAAAUGUUAGUUCUACAAAGGGCCUCUUACCCUCCUCUGCAGCCAUUUCUCAUAAAGUGCGCUAGCACUUUGUGAAUAAUUAAUAAUAUCAUACGUAUUAUUUUGAAGUAAAGUAAUUUGUAAUAACCCAUGGACAUGAGCUCAUGGUUACAAACAAUCUAUAAAUGUGUUGUAUUGCUGGUG